GCGCCCGUAGCUCAACGGAUAGAGCAUCUGACUACGGAUCAGAAGGUUGGGGGUUCGAAUCCCUUCGGGCGCGC
RNAcentral lists this transfer RNA (74 nucleotides) under Mycobacterium marinum. RNAcentral's name for it is "tRNA-Arg". It matches the Rfam family "tRNA". From Rfam's summary of the family: Transfer RNA (tRNA) molecules are approximately 80 nucleotides in length. Lineage: Bacteria; Bacillati; Actinomycetota; Actinomycetes; Mycobacteriales; Mycobacteriaceae. The record is from RNAcentral. RNAcentral also lists the same sequence under 5 other names.